CCUACGGGAGGCAGCAGUGGGGAAUAUUGCACAAUGGGGGAAACCCUGAUGCAGCGACGCCGCGUGAAGGAAGACUGAUUUCGGUAUUGAAACUUCUAUCAGUAGGGAAGUAAAUUACGGUACGUGUCUAAGUAUCCCCGUCUAACUACGUGCCAGCAGCCGCGGUAACACGUAGGGGGCAAGCGUUAUCCGGAUUUACUGGGUGUAAAGGGAGCGUAGUUGGUUUAGCAAGUCAGAAGUGAAAGUGCGGGGCUCAACUGCGGGACUGCAUUUGAAACUGUUGAACUAGAUUGCAGGAGAGGUAAGUGGAAUUCGUAGUGUAGCGGUGAAAUGCGUAGAUAUUAGGAGGAACACCAGUGGCGAAGGCAGCUUACUGAACUGUAAAUGACGCUGAGGCUCGAAAGCGUGGGGAGCAAACAGGAUUAGAUACCCCAGUAGUC
RNAcentral lists this ribosomal RNA (440 nucleotides) under uncultured bacterium. Its description in RNAcentral is "partial 16S ribosomal RNA". It matches the Rfam family "Bacterial small subunit ribosomal RNA", at positions 338 to 795 of the family's 1533-position model. The record is from RNAcentral.